RNAcentral lists this ribosomal RNA (498 nucleotides) under uncultured bacterium. RNAcentral describes it as "partial 16S ribosomal RNA". It matches the Rfam family "Bacterial small subunit ribosomal RNA", at positions 30 to 523 of the family's 1533-position model. The record is from RNAcentral.
AUUGAACGCCGGCGGCAUGCCUUACACAUGCAAGUCGAACGGCAGCACGGGGCAACCUGGUGGCGAGUGGCGAACGGGUGAGUAAUGCAUCGGAACGUACCUUUCAGUGGGGGAUAACGUAGCGAAAGUUACGCUAAUACCGCAUAUUCUGUGAGCAGGAAAGCAGGGGAUCGCAAGACCUUGCGCUGAUUGAGCGGCCGAUGUCAGAUUAGCUAGUUGGUGAGGUAAAGGCUCACCAAGGCGACGAUCUGUAGCGGGUCUGAGAGGAUGAUACGCCACACUGGAACUGAGACACGGUCCAGACUCCUACGGGAGGCAGCAGUGGGGAAUUUUGGACAAUGGGGGCAACCCUGAUCCAGCCAUGCCGCGUGAGUGAAGAAGGCCUUCGGGUUGUAAAGCUCUUUCGGCCGGGAAGAAAUCGCACGGGCUAAUACCCUGUGUGGAUGACGGUACCGGAAUAAGAAGCACCGGCUAACUACGUGCCAGCCGCCGCGGUAA